GAACUGAAGAGUUUGAUCAUGGCUCAGAUUGAACGCUGGCGGCAGGCCUAACACAUGCAAGUCGAGCGGCAGCGGGUCCUUCGGGAUGCCGGCGAGCGGCGGACGGGUGAGUAAUGCCUAGGAAUCUGCCUGGUAGUGGGGGAUAACGCGGGGAAACUCGCGCUAAUACCGCAUACGUCCUACGGGAGAAAGUGGGGGACCUUCGGGCCUCACGCUAUCAGAUGAGCCUAGGUCGGAUUAGCUAGUUGGUAGGGUAAAGGCCUACCAAGGCGACGAUCCGUAACUGGUCUGAGAGGAUGAUCAGUCACACUGGAACUGAGACACGGUCCAGACUCCUACGGGAGGCAGCAGUGGGGAAUAUUGGACAAUGGGCGAAAGCCUGAUCCAGCCAUGCCGCGUGUGUGAAGAAGGUCUUCGGAUUGUAAAGCACUUUAAGUUGGGAGGAAGGGCAGUAAGUUAAUACCUUGCUGUUUUGACGUUACCGACAGAAUAAGCACCGGCUAACUCUGUGCCAGCAGCCGCGGUAAUACAGAGGGUGCAAGCGUUAAUCGGAAUUACUGGGCGUAAAGCGCGCGUAGGUGGUUCAGCAAGUUGGAUGUGAAAUCCCCGGGCUCAACCUGGGAACUGCAUCCAAAACUACUGGGCUAGAGUACGGUAGAGGGUGGUGGAAUUUCCUGUGUAGCGGUGAAAUGCGUAGAUAUAGGAAGGAACACCAGUGGCGAAGGCGACCACCUGGACUGAUACUGACACUGAGGUGCGAAAGCGUGGGGAGCAAACAGGAUUAGAU
This 787-nucleotide ribosomal RNA is filed under the name Pseudomonas sp. PIC25. RNAcentral's name for it is "bacterial SSU rRNA". It matches the Rfam family "Bacterial small subunit ribosomal RNA", at positions 1 to 783 of the family's 1533-position model. Lineage: Bacteria; Pseudomonadati; Pseudomonadota; Gammaproteobacteria; Pseudomonadales; Pseudomonadaceae. The record is from RNAcentral.